This 465-nucleotide ribosomal RNA is filed under the name Vreelandella stevensii. RNAcentral's name for it is "partial 16S ribosomal RNA". It matches the Rfam family "Bacterial small subunit ribosomal RNA", at positions 338 to 795 of the family's 1533-position model. The record is from RNAcentral. Lineage: Bacteria; Pseudomonadati; Pseudomonadota; Gammaproteobacteria; Oceanospirillales; Halomonadaceae.
CCUACGGGUGGCAGCAGUGGGGAAUAUUGGACAAUGGGCGAAAGCCUGAUCCAGCCAUGCCGCGUGUGUGAAGAAGGCCUUCGGGUUGUAAAGCACUUUCAGUGGGGAAGAAAGCCUUGGGGCUAAUACCCUCGAGGAAGGACAUCACCCACAGAAGAAGCACCGGCUAACUCCGUGCCAGCAGCCGCGGUAAUACGGAGGGUGCGAGCGUUAAUCGGAAUUACUGGGCGUAAAGCGCGCGUAGGCGGUCUGAUAAGCCGGUUGUGAAAGCCCCGGGCUCAACCUGGGAACGGCAUCCGGAACUGUCAGGCUAGAGUGCAGGAGAGGAAGGUAGAAUUCCCGGUGUAGCGGUGAAAUGCGUAGAGAUCGGGAGGAAUACCAGUGGCGAAGGCGGCCUUCUGGACUGAGACUGACGCUGAGGUGCGAAAGCGUGGGUAGCAAACAGGAUUAGAUACCCGUGUAGUC